RNAcentral lists this ribosomal RNA (499 nucleotides) under uncultured bacterium. Its description in RNAcentral is "partial 16S ribosomal RNA". It matches the Rfam family "Bacterial small subunit ribosomal RNA", at positions 899 to 1397 of the family's 1533-position model. The record is from RNAcentral.
ACUCAAAUGAAUAGACGGGGGCCCGCACAAGCGGCGGAGCAUGCGGAUUAAUUCGAUGCAACGCGAAGAACCUUACCAAGGCUUGACAUGGACCGGACCGCUGCAGAGAUGCAGUUUCCCUUCGGGGUCGGUUCACAGGUGGUGCAUGGUUGUCGUCAGCUCGUGUCGUGAGAUGUUGGGUUAAGUCCCGCAACGAGCGCAACCCCUAUCCUAUGUUGCCAGCACGUUAUGGUGGGGACUCAUGGGAGACUGCCGGGGUCAACUCGGAGGAAGGUGGGGACGACGUCAAAUCAUCAUGCCCCUUAUGUCUUGGGCUUCACGCAUGCUACAAUGGCCGGUACAAUGGGUUGCGAUACUGUGAGGUGGAGCUAAUCCCUAAAAGCCGGUCUCAGUUCGGAUCGAAGUCUGCAACUCGACUUCGUGAAGUUGGAGUCGCUAGUAAUCGCAGAUCAGCAACGCUGCGGUGAAUACGUUCCCGGGCCUUGUACACACCGCCCGU